CAUGCAGCAAUGGGGUCCCUCGGUCUGGCCUGCAGGAUUGAGCUGAAACUGGCUCUCCAACAUCCCCCUGAGGGGUCCCGGAAUGCAAGAGGGUGCAGGCCAGGCCGAGGGACCUCACCGGUGCACA
Molecule: microRNA precursor, 127 nt
Filed under: Myotis lucifugus (little brown bat)
Lineage: Eukaryota; Metazoa; Chordata; Mammalia; Chiroptera; Vespertilionidae
Description: mir-9193 microRNA precursor family
Rfam family: mir-9193 microRNA precursor family
Source: Rfam by way of RNAcentral